GACGAACGCUGGCGGCGUGCCUAAUACAUGCAAGUAGAACGCUGAAGGAGGAGCUUGCUUCUCUGGAUGAGUUGCGAACGGGUGAGUAACGCGUAGGUAACCUGCCUGGUAGCGGGGGAUAACUAUUGGAAACGAUAGCUAAUACCGCAUAAGAGUAGAUGUUGCAUGACAUUUGCUUAAAAGGUGCAAUUGCAUCACUACCAGAUGGACCUGCGUUGUAUUAGCUAGUUGGUGGGGUAACGGCUCACCAAGGCAACGAUACAUAGCCGACCUGAGAGGGUGAUCGGCCACACUGGGACUGAGACACGGCCCAGACUCCUACGGGAGGCAGCAGUAGGGAAUCUUCGGCAAUGGACGGAAGUCUGACCGAGCAACGCCGCGUGAGUGAAGAAGGUUUUCGGAUCGUAAAGCUCUGUUGUAAGAGAAGAACGAGUGUGAGAGUGGAAAGUUCACACUGUGACGGUAUCUUACCAGAAAGGGACGGCUAACUACGUGCCAGCAGCCGCGGUAAUACGUAGGUCCCGAGCGUUGUCCGGAUUUAUUGGGCGUAAAGCGAGCGCAGGCGGUUAGAUAAGUCUGAAGUUAAAGGCUGUGGCUUAACCAUAGUACGCUUUGGAAACUGUUUAACUUGAGUGCAAGAGGGGAGAGUGGAAUUCCAUGUGUAGCGGUGAAAUGCGUAGAUAUAUGGAGGAACACCGGUGGCGAAAGCGGCUCUCUGGCUUGUAACUGACGCUGAGGCUCGAAAGCGUGGGGAGCAAACAGG
This 763-nucleotide ribosomal RNA is filed under the name uncultured Streptococcus sp. RNAcentral's name for it is "bacterial SSU rRNA". It matches the Rfam family "Bacterial small subunit ribosomal RNA", at positions 28 to 776 of the family's 1533-position model. Lineage: Bacteria; Bacillati; Bacillota; Bacilli; Lactobacillales; Streptococcaceae. The record is from RNAcentral.